RNAcentral lists this ribosomal RNA (407 nucleotides) under uncultured bacterium. RNAcentral's name for it is "partial 16S ribosomal RNA". It matches the Rfam family "Bacterial small subunit ribosomal RNA", at positions 30 to 526 of the family's 1533-position model. The record is from RNAcentral.
AUUGAACGCUGGCGGCAGGCCUAACACAUGCAAGUCGAGCGGAGCGUCGGACGGGUGAGUAAUGCCUAGGAAUCUGCCUGGUAGUGGGGGAUAACGUCCGGAAACGGGCGCUAAUACCGCAUCCUAGCAGACGAGCCUCGGUCGGCGUAGCUAGUUGGUGGGGUAAAGGCAUACCCGGGCUACGAGCCGUAACUGGUCUGAGAGGAUGAUCAGUCACACUGGAACGGAGACACGGUCCAGACUCCGACGGGAGGCCGCAGGGGGGAAUAUUGGACAAUGGGCGAAAGCCUGAGCCAGCCAUGCUGCGUGUGUGAAGAAGGUCUUCGGAUUGUAAAGCACUUUAAGUUGGGAGGCGUUACCAACAGAAUAAGCACCGGCUAACUUCGUGCCAGCAGCCGCGGUAAUUC